GCUAGUUGCGCGGGUUCAGCCCCGCAGCGAAAAGCUCAGUAACACGUGGCCAAGCUACCCUGUGGACGGGAAUAAUCUCGGGAAACUGAGGCUAAUCCCCGAUAACGCUUCGCUCCUGGAAGGGGCGAAGCCGGAAACGCUCCGGCGCCACAGGAUGCGGCUGCGGUCGAUUAGGUAGACGGUGGGGUAACGGCCCACCGUGCCUAUAAUCGGUACGGGUUGUGAGAGCAAGAGCCCGGAGACGGAAUCUGAGACAAGAUUCCGGGCCCUACGGGGCGCAGCAGGCGCGAAACCUUUACACUGUACGAAAGUGCGAUAAGGGGACUCCGAGUGUGAAGGCAUAGAGCCUUCACUUUUGUACACCGUAAGGUGGUGUACGAAUAAGGACUGGGCAAGACCGGUGCCAGCCGCCGCGGUAAUACCGGCAGUCCGAGUGAUGGCCGAUAUUAUUGGGCCUAAAGCGUCCGUAGCUGGCUAGACAAGUCCGUUGGGAAAUCUGCCCGCUUAACGGGCAGGCGUCCAGCGGAAACUGUCUAGCUUGGGACCGGAAGACCUGAGGGGUACGUCUGGGGUAGGAGUGAAAUCCUGUAAUCCUGGACGGACCGCCGGUGGCGAAAGCGCCUCAGGAGAACGGAUCCGACAGUGAGGGACGAAAGCUAGGGUCUCGAACCGGAUUAGAUACCCGGGUAGUCCUAGCUGUAAACGAUGUCC
This 711-nucleotide ribosomal RNA is filed under the name Halobacterium sp. BsD1. Its description in RNAcentral is "bacterial SSU rRNA". It matches the Rfam family "Archaeal small subunit ribosomal RNA", at positions 53 to 765 of the family's 1478-position model. The record is from RNAcentral. Lineage: Archaea; Methanobacteriati; Methanobacteriota; Halobacteria; Halobacteriales; Halobacteriaceae.